UACAGAGGGUGCGAGCGUUGUCCGGAAUCACUGGGCGUAAAGGGCGCGUAGGCUGCUUUUCAAGCGUGCGGUGAAAGCUCGGGGCUUAACUCCGAGUCUGCCGUGCGAACUGGGAGGCUUGAGUCUGGUAGAGGUCGAUGGAAUUCCGGGUGUAGCGGUGGAAUGCGUAGAGAUCCGGAAGAACACCGGUGGCGAAGGCGGUCGACUGGGCCAGAACUGACGCUGAGGCGCGACAGCGUGGGGAGCAAACAGG
RNAcentral lists this ribosomal RNA (253 nucleotides) under uncultured bacterium. Its description in RNAcentral is "partial 16S ribosomal RNA". It matches the Rfam family "Bacterial small subunit ribosomal RNA", at positions 524 to 776 of the family's 1533-position model. The record is from RNAcentral.